This 505-nucleotide ribosomal RNA is filed under the name uncultured Sphingobacteriales bacterium. RNAcentral describes it as "bacterial SSU rRNA". It matches the Rfam family "Bacterial small subunit ribosomal RNA", at positions 410 to 916 of the family's 1533-position model. The record is from RNAcentral. Lineage: Bacteria; Pseudomonadati; Bacteroidota; Sphingobacteriia; Sphingobacteriales.
ACAGCCCUCUGGGUCGUAAACUGCUUUUAUUCGGGAAUAAACCUCAUUACGUGUAGUGAGCUGAAUGUACCGAAGGAAUAAGGAUCGGCUAACUCCGUGCCAGCAGCCGCGGUAAUACGGAGGAUCCAAGCGUUAUCCGGAUUUAUUGGGUUUAAAGGGUGCGUAGGCGGCUUUUUAAGUCAGGGGUGAAAGACGGUAGCUCAACUAUCGCAGUGCCCUUGAUACUGAAGAGCUUGAAUGGACUAGAGGUAGGCGGAAUGUGACAAGUAGCGGUGAAAUGCAUAGAUAUGUCACAGAACACCGAUUGCGAAGGCAGCUUACUAUGGUUUUAUUGACGCUGAGGCACGAAAGCGUGGGGAUCAAACAGGAUUAGAUACCCUGGUAGUCCACGCCCUAAACGAUGAAUACUCGCUGUUAGCGAUACACAGUUAGCGGCUAAGCGAAAGCGUUAAGUAUUCCACCUGGGGAGUACGGUCGCAAGAUUGAAACUCAAAGGAAUUGACGG